GUAGGUGGCAAGCGUUGUCCGGAAUUAUUGGGCGUAAAGCGCGCGCAGGCGGUUCUUUAAGUCUGAUGUGAAAGCCCACGGCUCAACCGUGGAGGGUCAUUGGAAACUGGAGAGCUUGAGUACAGAAGAGGAAAGCGGAAUUCCACGUGUAGCGGUGAAAUGCGUAGAGAUGUGGAGGAACACCAGUGGCGAAGGCGGCUUUCUGGUCUGUAACUGACGCUGAGGCGCGAAAGCGUGGGGGGAGCAAACAGGAUUAGAUACCCUGGUAGUCCACGCCGUAAACGAUGAGUGCUAAGCGUUAGGGGGUUUCCGCCCCCCCCUUAGUGCUGCAGCUAACGCAUUAAGCACUCCGCCUGGGAGUACGGCCGCAAGGCUG
This 376-nucleotide ribosomal RNA is filed under the name uncultured organism. RNAcentral's name for it is "partial 16S ribosomal RNA". It matches the Rfam family "Bacterial small subunit ribosomal RNA", at positions 527 to 896 of the family's 1533-position model. The record is from RNAcentral.